Long non-coding RNA from Phyllostomus discolor (pale spear-nosed bat), 166 nucleotides. RefSeq lists it as uncharacterized. The transcript has 2 exons. The record is from RefSeq and is a predicted model, not a curated record. Lineage: Eukaryota; Metazoa; Chordata; Mammalia; Chiroptera; Phyllostomidae.
UUUGUUAGACUGUAUUGUGACAGCUGUCAUAUUAGUGCAUAUAAAAAACUUAUCAAAAUUGUUGAAUAUUUUUGUAGCCAACUUAAUAUUGGAGAUAGAAGAAAAUAAGCAACAUUUUUGGCAUAUUAUGCUUUAUUAUUUCAAUAAAGGUAAAAAUACAACUGAA